Molecule: long non-coding RNA, 1340 nt
Filed under: Homo sapiens (human)
Lineage: Eukaryota; Metazoa; Chordata; Mammalia; Primates; Hominidae
Description: HSALNT0386190
Source: RNAcentral
AAUAUAUAAAUUAAAAAGAAUGAAAAGAAUACUUCACCUCAGACCUCAGCCUUUCAUCCUUCAGCUGAAUGGAAUAUUUGGAUCUCACCUAUGAGCUCAAUAAGAAAAGAAAAACACAAAUGACUGAAAGCAGGACUUCAGCAGCCCUGAGAAAUCAUGGACGGGAAUCCACCUUUGUUUACUACAAAACACCCUGCUUCACGGUUUCUCAUUGUGCUACCUUCCUUCGGGGGAACCCCAGGAUUUCACAGGCUGAUAUCCCCAGCUACAUCCAAGUUUCCAGAAAUGAGGAUCCAUAGGCACAAAGUGAGGUGUCCCCAACCCUCCCUUUUUACAGCCCAUGCCUGAUAUUUAUCGGAACGUCCACAAGGCGAUGGUGAACGGUGGCCAAAUGAGAAGCUCAGUGUCUGGGAAAAUGAUUGAAAAUGGCCAAGUGCCACAGUGAGAGUUGUUUGUUCUGGGAAUGGAAGGAGGAAAUUGUCAGAGGAAGUGAAAUAGGAAAUGAAGAGAUCAAAGGGAGGAGGAAAUAAGAUUGAAUUGAGCCCUUUUUGGAUUCAACUUUGCACUCUUAACCCAUGUGAGGCAAAAAGAUUAGCCUUUAAACAGCUGGAGUUGGGGAGAAACACUUUCCAACGGGUGCAUCCUGGCGACUGUUAGCUCCCACAUCCCACCCCACAAAUGGACUGCAGCAGGGGAGCUGAGGGAAGCCAGAUCCGUUUCCUACAGAAAAUCCAGUGGUUUCUGAUGGCAGGAGGGAGGCGGUCUAUCUUCACUGCGGAUGGCGAGGUGCCUUUUGGAGGAGGAGGAUGGAGAGAAAGGGUCUCCAACAGCGAACCUUUGUCCUGCAAUGCAAAUGAACCUCUGCAAAACAGGGCGCAGACAAUGCCAGCCUAGUCCUCUGCGCGAAGCGAUCCAUCUGCAGCUAUUUUGUUAACCUGAUGUUUCUUACAUUCUUUCUCUCAUACAAAAUACUUGAUUUUGACAGCUGUGAAUUUUAAACAACCAUUCUGUGUAUGUUUUUCUAAUUUUGUGUAUUCAGAUUGUUUCUCCAUAUUGGGGGGGUUGGAAGCCAAGUACUUUACAUUCCUUCGUUUAGAGAUUUCAUGCUUUUCGAAAGUCGUGGCGGUUCUGAUCGCUAAACAAAGUAGAAAUGAAGUGUGCUCACCAGCAGCAUUGGAAUGACCGGGGAGUGCAGAAGCACUUUUGAAAUAAAAAAGGUUGCACAAGCGGACUGGAGGCAGGGCUCAGGAGUGACACAUCACUCAGUCACACUCUGGUGGCCCCAGGAAGCUGCGUCUGCCCUCACUUACCUGUAAAAUGGGGCUGCAACAACAUUCUCA